Molecule: ribosomal RNA, 497 nt
Filed under: uncultured bacterium
Lineage: Bacteria
Description: partial 16S ribosomal RNA
Rfam family: Bacterial small subunit ribosomal RNA
Source: RNAcentral
GAUGAACGCUGGCGGCGUGCCUAAUACAUGCAAGUCGAGCGAACGGACGAUAAGCUUUCUUCUCUGAUGUUAGCGGCGGACGGGUGAGUAACACGUGGAUAACCUACCUAUAAUACUUGGAUAACUUCGUUAAACCGGAUCUAAUACCGGAUAAUAUUUUGAACCGCAUUGUUCAAAAGUUAAAGACGGUCUUUCUGUCACUUAUAGAUGGAUCCGCGCUGCAUUAGCUAGUUGGUAAGGUAACGGCUUACCAAGGCAACGAUGCAUAUCCGACCUGAGAGGGUGAUAGGACACAAUGGAAAUGAGACACGGUAAAGAAAACUACGGGAGGCAGAAGUAGGGAAGAGUACGCAAUGGGCGAAAUAAUGAAGGAGAAACGACGCGUGAGUGAUGAAGGUAUUCGGAUAGUAAAAAUCUGUUAUUAGGGAAGAAAAUAUGUGGAAGUAACUGUGCAAAUAUUGACGGUACCUAAUCAGAAAGCAACGGCUAACUACGUG